UUUGAGCUUUUGAGGCUAGAAUCAGAAAGUUCAGGAUUUUGGGUAUAAUUUGGGUGAAGAGUUUGUAUGAUUUCGAGUUUUUGUGAAGAAGAUAUAGGUGUUCAAAGUUAAGGUGUCAAAUUUGUACCUACUGUCACUCAUUGAAGCAUAACAUAUGCGUACGGAGAGCAAUGAAAGAUCGGCGACUAGAAUUGAAGAAGACACUUUCUUGGCUAUACUUUAUAUAUAUUUUUUGAUGAAUUCCAAGUCUGGAUGAAGGAGUUAUAGACAUUUGAAGACAGCACAUGUAAUUCAAAGGCAGUAAGUGAGUCAUUUUGUU
RNAcentral lists this long non-coding RNA (319 nucleotides) under Physcomitrium patens. Its description in RNAcentral is "long non-coding RNA (PPAT_LNC001709)". The record is from RNAcentral. Lineage: Eukaryota; Viridiplantae; Streptophyta; Bryopsida; Funariales; Funariaceae.